RNAcentral lists this ribosomal RNA (1287 nucleotides) under Acinetobacter baumannii. RNAcentral describes it as "partial 16S ribosomal RNA". It matches the Rfam family "Bacterial small subunit ribosomal RNA", at positions 66 to 1315 of the family's 1533-position model. The record is from RNAcentral. Lineage: Bacteria; Pseudomonadati; Pseudomonadota; Gammaproteobacteria; Moraxellales; Moraxellaceae.
GCGAAUUGCAUAUUAACUUAGCGGCGGACGGGUGAGUAAUGCUUAGGAAUCUGCCUAUUAGUGGGGGACAACAUUCCGAAAGGGAUGCUAAUACCGCAUACGCCCUACGGGGGAAAGCAGGGGAUCUUCGGACCUUGCGCUAAUAGAUGAGCCUAAGUCGGAUUAGCUAGUUGGUGGGGUAAAGGCCUACCAAGGCGACGAUCUGUAGCGGGUCUGAGAGGAUGAUCCGCCACACUGGGACUGAGACACGGCCCAGACUCCUACGGGAGGCAGCAGUGGGGAAUAUUGGACAAUGGGGGGAACCCUGAUCCAGCCAUGCCGCGUGUGUGAAAAAAGCCUUUUGGUUGUAAAGGACUUUAAGCGAGGAGGAAGGGCUCUAAGGUAAUUCCCCAGAUGCGUGGAAGGUACUCCCAAAAUAAACACCGGCUAACUCUGGGCCAGCAGCCGCGGGAUAAUAAAAGGGGGGGAGGGUUAACCGGAUUUUCCGGGGGGGAAAAACCCCCCCGUAGGGGGGUUUAUUUAAAACAAAAGGGGAAAAACCCCCCCAACUUAAUUUGGGAAAUUUGCUUUCCAUACUGGGUAACCUAAAAGUAUUGGGAAAAGGAUUGGUAAAAUUCCAGGGUGGUAGCCGGUGAAAAUGCCGUAAAAAUCUGGGAGGAAAUUCCCGAUGGGCCAAAGGCAACCAUUCUGGGACUAAUACUGACACUUGGGGGUGGGGAAAGGCAUGGGGGGAAGCCAACCCGGGAUUUAAAUUACCCCCUGGUAGUCCACGCCGUAAACGAUGUCGACUUGGAGGUUGUGCCCUUGAGGCGUGGCUUCCGGAGCUAACGCGUUAAGUCGACCCCCUGGGGAGUACGGCCGCAAGGUUAAAACUCAAAUGAAUUGACGGGGGCCCGCACAAGCGGUGGAGCAUGUGGUUUAAUUCGAUGCAACGCGAAGAACCUUACCUACUCUUGACAUCCAGAGAACUUAACAGAGAUGCUUUGGUGCCUUCGGGAACUUUGAGACAGGUGCUGCAUGGCUGUCGUCAGCUCGUGUUGUGAAAUGUUGGGUUAAGUCCCGCAACGAGCGCAACCCUUAUCCUUUGUUGCCAGCGGUCCGGCCGGGAACUCAAAGGAGACUGCCAGUGAUAAACUGGAGGAAGGUGGGGAUGACGUCAAGUCAUCAUGCCCCUUACGAGUAGGGCUACACACGUGCUACAAUGGCGCAUACAAAGAGAAGCGACCUCGCGAGAGCAAGCGGACCUCAUAAAGUGCGUCGUAGUCCGGAUUGGAGUCUGCAACUCGA